CGCGGGAUAGAGCAGUUUGGUAGCUCGUCGGGCUCAUAACCCGAAGGUCGGAGGUUCAAAUCCUCCCCCCGCUACCA
Molecule: transfer RNA, 77 nt
Filed under: Sulfurovum sp.
Lineage: Bacteria; Pseudomonadati; Campylobacterota; Epsilonproteobacteria; Campylobacterales; Sulfurovaceae
Description: tRNA-Met
Rfam family: tRNA
About the family: Transfer RNA (tRNA) molecules are approximately 80 nucleotides in length.
Source: RNAcentral